This 360-nucleotide ribosomal RNA is filed under the name Aquabacterium sp. RNAcentral describes it as "bacterial SSU rRNA". It matches the Rfam family "Bacterial small subunit ribosomal RNA", at positions 920 to 1267 of the family's 1533-position model. Lineage: Bacteria; Pseudomonadati; Pseudomonadota; Betaproteobacteria; Burkholderiales; Sphaerotilaceae. The record is from RNAcentral.
CCCAGCACAAGCGGUGGAUGAUGUGGUUUAAUUCGAUGCAACGCGAUAAAACCUUACCUACCCUUGACAUGCCAGGUAAUCUUCGCCAGAGAUGGCUUGGUGCUCGAAAGAGAACCUGGACACAGGUGCUGCAUGUCCGUCAGUCAGCUCUGUGUCGUGAGAUGUUGGGUUAAGUCCCGCAAGCGAGCGCAAUCCCUUGUCAUUAGCUUGCUACGAAAGGGCACUCUUAAUGAGACUGCCGGUGACAAACCGGAGGAAGGUGGGGAUGACAGUCUAGGUCUCUCUAUGGCCCUUAUGGGUAGGGCUACACAACGUCUAUACAUGGCCCGGUACAGAGGGCUGCCAACCCGCGAGGGGGAG